Molecule: long non-coding RNA, 1331 nt
Filed under: Homo sapiens (human)
Lineage: Eukaryota; Metazoa; Chordata; Mammalia; Primates; Hominidae
Description: HSALNT0056294
Source: RNAcentral
GAAUCAUAAGGGCCAAGCCUCUUCUAUUCAAAUCCACUCCAGCUGACUAAUCUUAUAAAACGAAUAAGGAAGGACAGGCUAGACCCUGACUGGGGUCUCUGUAAGUAGUCUCCACUAACUUUCCUCAUCUCUGCCUCAUGGCUGUUACAUUCAGCUUCUACUAAACGAUAACAGGAGGAAGAAAAGAGCUUGUAUAGCUUCCCUCCUUACUGUAAGGUCUCAAAAUGAGCAAUUGGAGAGAAAGCCAAAAAUGAAACCUAAAAUGGAAGCCACUGAACCAUUUGGAAAUUCAAAGUCAUUGAAAGAAAAGCUGUGACUAAUCUCCAAUGUACUGCAACUCCGAAGCAGCAUAUGGCUGAAUGUUUUCUCAUGAAGUUUGCUCAUUGAACUCGGAGGGUCAAGAUCCUCAGGCGUUUUCCAUCCAUGCUUCUGAAGACCCUCGGAUUUCAAAGAAUGCCUCAAGGACCAUCCAGCAGGGAAAGAGGAGAGGAAAUGAGAGCGAUAUUAGAGCAGGAGGAGCAUUAUGCCUUCUUCUUCUACUUCAAUAAAGUAAAUUCUGACAAUAUGUAUUUUAUAUUUUGGGCUGUGGAGUGAGGUUUAAUUAAAAGCAUGGACUUUGGAUCUAAAAAGCCUUUAUAAACCCUAAGACGAGUUGAUUUGAUGAAUCCAUUCUCUUGCAGCAAUUUAAGAAUCCAGGUUCUUCAGAACUGAGAUUAAAGUUACGGUCAUUUUCUUAAGAUGAAAUAAAUGAAUGGGAAAAAAUAACAUCCAGAUGUUCUAAUAUUGGGUUAAACUUUUUAAUAAAUUGGACCCCUUUACCUGGAAAAGAUGGGAACCUGAACGCAAGCAAGAUUCAGUGCACAAAUGAGUGCAUAUGCAAAUCAAGUUAUGCUUCCCACCGUGUAUUUUUGUACCACAUACCAGCUACCUCCAUGAAAUGAUUCUGUUUUCAUCCUAGCUACCCUGGAUGUCCCACAGAUAAACACUACCUUCAGUCACAUUCUCACACCACGGUAUUCACCUGGUUGAACCUAAACAAAGAUAGAGUUUCAUGUAGCCAUUUCUAUUCUUAAAUUUUAAAGACUCACUGAAAUUAAACAUAUGAUGAUUUGCAUGGCACUAAAGGCAGACAGAAAUUCUGAUUCAGAUUUAAAACAUUAUAUUAGCUCAUCAGUCCUUCCCAAAGUAUGUAUGGUGUCUUAUUCCUACAAUGAAUGGAAACUGAUAAUCAAAUGAUGCACAGAUUCCAUGAAACUUCACUUUGUAUAUGGUGCAUAAUAGCAGAAAAGAGAUCAUUGUAACUACUUCUGAUGACUAAAUUUCUGUAUAAA